Zeugodacus cucurbitae (melon fly) is the source of this 2513-nucleotide RNA transcript. RefSeq lists it as uncharacterized. The record is from RefSeq and is a predicted model, not a curated record. Lineage: Eukaryota; Metazoa; Arthropoda; Insecta; Diptera; Tephritidae. The transcript is spliced from 3 exons.
CGAACAAGAGUGUUUAAAAUAAGAAAUAAUUACAUUAGCAUGAAAAAUAUUACAAAAAGAAGUUAUUGUAAAAUUCUGCUAAUCUAAUACAAAUGCCAGUGUUGACUCCGUACAAAUUGGGACUAAGCAUUAGGGAAAUUUAAAAAUAAAUCAUACAACUUGUACCCCUUUGUGUGAACUGAUGUACGACUUGUCGUAGAGACAUUGCACUUGAAACCAGAUGGUUAGAAACCAGACUAAAUUUUGUAAGAAUGUUUUGCUUUAGUAUUCCGAAGCCGUUUUUGCGUGUCUAAUGGGAUGCAUCAACAGUACAAAAAAAUUAAGCGAUUUAAAAAGCGAAAACGUUUUUCGUGCAGUGCGACUUCACUCCGAGUUGGCAGAUCAAGGACGCACUGGAUAUCUGGAGUUAACACCGAGGGAACUAGUUUUUCGUACGGGCUCUAACCAACGUGUUGUAUGGGCAUUGCAACAUCUACGCAGAUAUGGGCUUAAUGGCGAUGUAUUCUCCUUUGAAGCUGGGCGUCGUUGUAUGACAGGCCCUGGCAUUUAUACAUUUCGUUGUCAACGCGCGGAACAAUUAUAUCAUCUAUUUCAAACUUAUAUAAAUGCUGUCUCCCUUGUGACGGAUGAUGCAUUCAACUUUAGUGAACGUGAGCGUGAUCAUCCUUCACAUACAGUGGGACGACCAGAAAAUGUACAAAAUGUAAACAACUAUUUGGAACCUGCACCGUUAGUAGGUGCAGGCGCAGCAGUAUCAGUUUUGCAACGUUCCCGAGUACUUCGAGAUUCCUUCAGCAGUAGUCCACUAAGUUUGGACUCGCCAGAUUCAGUUCCAAGUAUAUCAUUUGCAACAAAUGAAGUUGUUCAUAUACAGAGUCCGCGUUUGCCUAAUGGUCUCGGCACGUAUGUGAAUACCCCUAAUACAGGUAUGCCCGUUGCCAAUAGCAAUGUAUACUCUGAAUAUCCUUUGCGGUCACACGUAGAACACAAUAAUAACUUAUCAAACGCGUCCAAUGGUGUAUUUAAUACUCUGGCUAGAAAAAAUUUGGUGAAGCAUUCUUCUCUAGAUAUUCCACCAGAAGAAUUUGCACCUAUGCUUACACCACCAUCGGAUGCAUUACACAUGUAUGCUAAUGUUGAAAGCUGCUCACUUGCCGCCAGCAAUUUUGGUUUUAGUGGCAUGGUGGGCAUGCGUAAUGUGUUACGCGAUCAAGAGCGAUGUUAUGAAAAUCUAAAUACUGACGAGUUGAAGUUGAUCCUUCCAAAGCAAAAAAUGUCGUCUUCAACGCCAGGAAGAAGCCAUAGUGGAGUAGAUGUGCCCUGUGAUCCACAGUCAAAGCAAACGAAAUCAGCCGGAACAAAUGCAGUCAAUUAUAUUGUUCUGGACUUGGACCAACCACGAAGUCCGACACCAUGUUCACCCAAACUUCAAGUAGGAAGUGGCCUCUCUUUAACUGCCGUUGAUGGCGCUGAUGGAAGUAUGCGAUCAGGUUCCAAAACAGAAUCACUUACUGAUUCAACACAUACUAGUGUAACUGCAACGACUCAGCCAAUGACUAUUACCACAGCAACGAUAACAAACGUGACAAAUACAACGAAACCAAAUAGCGGUAGUGUUGAACAAUUGGAAAAGAAAGAAGAAUCUUCACUUGGUUACUCGACUAUAGAUUUUAUAAAGACUUGUGCACUUAUUAAAUCGUCGACACACGGUGCAGACUUUGAUGCAGAACCAGGCAAUGAAGAAUGCAGAAUCACCAGACAUAGUAAAUGUGUGCGGAAAGCCUACUCUAUUAGUGAAUAGGAGAAAUUGUACUUGCGCAGCGCUUUCAUAUUUGGAGAACACGUUUCCUGAUUUAAAAAAGUACAGUGUACCAGCAUUUAGUACAACAACAUAGUUAUAAGAGGCCUGAUGUUGAUUUGGACUUCGUUUUGAGAUUUUUAAUAGAAAUAUGUAUGCCGGCAUCGUGUGCCAUAUUUACCACAUACAGAGCAGCACAAAAUGUAUACCGGACGGACAUUUAUUAAUGUAUAUACAUAAAUAUAUGAAACGUUUAGACGGGUAAUUGCUUUAUUAAAGUUUUCAAAAUUAAAUUAAUAUUAUCGUAUUGAUGCAAUUGUGCAAUUGAUUUUUUUAUAUUAUAUGCAUAUGUAUUUAUGGUAUAGUGUUACAAUGCUAUAUUUUGUACUUAAGCCAAAUUUUGUUAUAUUUUUCUUAUAAUUCAUAGACUUUUGAAAAAUUUGUACUUAAAUUAAUUUUUUUUUUAUUAUUGUUUACAUUUAUUAUACAUAAAUAGUGCAGCUACAUGUAUUUAAAAGCUGUGUUUUGUUAGCUGUAGUAGCAAAAAUGCCAAAGUACUCAUAUACUCGUACAUUAAAAUUUAUCAUAAAUUUGUUAUGGUUGUAUUUGUAUUGCCGAGAGAAAUACAUUAGCACCAACAAUGUAUGUAUAUGUAUAUCAUUAAAUGUAUUUAAGAAUAAAUUGAAUAAUAAGUUGUAAUUUAAAAAUAACAAAA